Molecule: ribosomal RNA, 495 nt
Filed under: Staphylococcus warneri
Lineage: Bacteria; Bacillati; Bacillota; Bacilli; Caryophanales; Staphylococcaceae
Description: bacterial SSU rRNA
Rfam family: Bacterial small subunit ribosomal RNA
Source: RNAcentral
GGAUGAACGCUGGCGGCGUGCCUAAUACAUGCAAGUCGAGCGAACAGAUAAGGAGCUUGCUCCUUUGACGUUAGCGGCGGACGGGUGAGUAACACGUGGAUAACCUACCUAUAAGACUGGGAUAACUUCGGGAAACCGGAGCUAAUACCGGAUAACAUAUUGAACCGCAUGGUUCAAUAGUGAAAGGCGGCUUUGCUGUCACUUAUAGAUGGAUCCGCGCCGUAUUAGCUAGUUGGUAAGGUAACGGCUUACCAAGGCAACGAUACGUAGCCGACCUGAGAGGGUGAUCGGCCACACUGGAACUGAGACACGGUCCAGACUCCUACGGGAGGCAGCAGUAGGGAAUCUUCCGCAAUGGGCGAAAGCCUGACGGAGCAACGCCGCGUGAGUGAUGAAGGUCUUCGGAUCGUAAAACUCUGUUAUCAGGGAAGAACAAAUGUGUAAGUAACUGUGCACAUCUUGACGGUACCUGAUCAGAAAGCCACGGCUAACUAC